UUCCUCUCCUUCCUCCCCACACACACGCGCAUCCAGCCGAGAGAUUGAGAGAGAUGAUACCGUGAGAGAGAGACCGUGAUGGAGAGGAAGAGCUGAAGGUCUGGGUCAGGAGAAACCCGAGAUUUGUGGGAGACACAACGACCCAUUGAACCCGAGAGAGAGCUGAAGGAGAUUUGGACUUAUUGGAGGCACGAUCUCCGGUGAAAUGAAGCGAUUUUCGGUGAAAAUCAAUGGGGAUUUCCGGUUAUUUCUUGUGAAGCCUUCAAAGGGUCGUGUCAUAAUUGGAGACUUCAAUGGGUUCUUCAAUGUAGAGUUGGAGUCGUGAGUCCAAUGCAGCCAGAUGAUGUUCCUCUGGCUGCAGGUACUCCGGUCGUAGUGAUGAUGUUAUAGAUGUGCACGUGGGAUAUUAUGACCAAAGCUCGCCGCGACAGUCGUAAUUGCAAGACCAUGGGUGUCUUCAGUUUUAUAGGUUUUGUUAUGGUUUGUGACGCUUGUGUCACCUAAUCUAUGUCAAGCCAUUUCUGUUAUGUAUUUGUUAUAUUGAGGAAAGACUUAAACAGAUAGAUGUUAAAUGGCUCUUGUUGUAAUUAAUUGGUGAUAGAUGUUUGAGACAUGAUUUCCUCUAUUAGAUUUAUGUUUUCCGUUGCAUAGUUAGAUAAAUGUCAUACUUUGA
Alnus glutinosa is the source of this 673-nucleotide long non-coding RNA. RefSeq lists it as uncharacterized. The record is from RefSeq and is a predicted model, not a curated record. The transcript has 3 exons. Lineage: Eukaryota; Viridiplantae; Streptophyta; Magnoliopsida; Fagales; Betulaceae.